CAUCAUGCGUUGCCCACUCCCAUCGAUCCCAUCUAUUGUUUCCGCCGCCGCCGCCGCCGCUAAAAAACUCCAUCGGUCCCCAUCCUUGCUUGCCCACUCCCAUCGAUAGUUGCCACCGCCGCCGCCGUCGUCCGAGGGGGAGACGUCGCCGCCGCCGCUGCAAGGUAUGGCGGUUUGAAUCCCGCCCCCGCCUCUGCAAGGCAGGGCGGUUUCAAUCCCACCGCCGCCGAACUCCGGGAAUCGCCGCCGCCAAGUCUUCAGGGCAGGGCGGUUUCAAACCCUGCCGACGAUCUCCGGGAUACGCAUAAUCGUCGCUGCCGCCCCCUCCCCCGGCUGCCCCAUGGUCUUCUAUCUCUCCCAACUCCGCUGUCGCGCCCCGUGUUCCGUCUCUGCAUGAAUCGCUGUUGUGGCAGCCACUCCCCAUGGCGGCCAUCCGGGCACACCGUGUCCGGGAUGAUGGAGGUGAUGUCGGCCAGUUCCCUGUUUUCGUUGGCAUCUUCUGCGAUGGGACCCGUGGGGGCAGGUCGCGCGCUGCUCAUCUGCGUCGAUGGCGUCGGCGUCGUCCUUCCCCUGCCAAGCAUGGCGGCUCCUUGGCUGGAUCACAGUGAUGAUACAGUUGGCUCGGCGGCGGCUAGGGAUCUCGCAGGCUGGCGUUUAUUUGAUGUCUGGGUGUUCCAAUCGUGAUGGAACGGACGUAUAAUGUACGGUAUAAGAAUUUGGACGAGGCUCAUCUGCGUGGAUGGUUGUGGCUUGGCCGCCGAGCACACAAUCCAUUGAUUCACACAUAAGACCGUAGCCAUCUACACCAAGGCUCCUCUGCCCUACCGAGUCUUGCAAGCGAUCGUCGUAAGAAAUAUUCCGUGUGAUGCCGGCAUGUGUUGUUGUUGCACUGUCGCAACCAUCCAUCUGCACACCAAAUGUCAAAACCGAGUCGCGGUGUACACAAUGCUGGGCAUUAUUUAUAUCGAAGGACGAGGAGGAAGAUUUGGAUGACCGUAACCACAAUGGCAAGAGCAGCAACAUGGUCGUCACCUGCAAUGCCGAUGGGUGCUGACAUUAUGAUGUUUGGUUUAUUUGUUGAAAGUUACAGCCCAUGUUUCAUGAUUUAUUUGCCACCGGUUAAUCAUGAUAUUUUGAAGUGCUCUGACAAUUGCUUGCUGUCUGCAUCUCUUACUUUUCAACUUGCUGCAUAUACAGAUAUACACCAUUAGAAUCUGUUUGUACAAUAUAUUUACUUAUUCAACAUGCUUCAGUUAUGCUUCUUUGAAAAUCCAGUUGUAGAUUGCAGUGAAGCCCCAUUUAGAUCUUGGCUAUAGUAUUAUUCUUGUCUUAUGACUCGUGACAGGUUGAUAUGUGAUACCAUGACAUAGCAUAUGUGGUACCGUGGUAGUCACAUUUGGUGGUAGUUCUGAUUGUUUGCUAGAUUACGAGAUAAGACCAAGUGCUUCUGCUACUCGGUUGCGGUUUUGAUAGGAACAUGAAGACUUGUGCCAUGCCAUGGAGCAUGUUUGAUUAAAAGGACAUAGUUGCUCCAAUAUAUUGAGCAGGGAAGAAGUUUGUUACAAGUGUUUUAUAGAGUUGACGCCAGAGACGUCCGACGGGAUACAUUGGUGAAGGAAUCGACAAAGGAGCUUCCGUUCAGCAUGGUAUCUCAAUGGAAGAAUAUCCGAAGCAAACCUCCGCUACUUCUCUGUUCCCUUUCAUUUGUCGUGGGAAGACCUUAGGAAGGUAGGAAGACCUUAGGAAGAGCGGGUGGGAGGAAGAGAGGCAUGUGCUAUAGAUGUAGGCGAACAAUGGUCCUUGGAAAUUAUUAGUACUCUACAAAAUGUCUGUCCCCUAUGAUGCCUACAAUGAGCGAUAGAGGGUGGAAGGAAGGGAGAGCGGAGGAAGGAAGAUGGGGAUAUAUGUAGAGAAAGGGAGAUAGGAGGAAGGGAGAUGGGCAUAUAUGUAUAGAGAGGAAGAUCAGAGAGGGAGGGGAGAUUUACAGGACGAUUGUCGUUGAGCCACUCAAAUAUUUUCGUGUUUCAAUGACGCGUGGAGGACGACGGUCACGAGCGCAUUGUCGCAAGCUCACAGGAGGGAGGCACACAUCUCAUCCAAUAUAAAAGCACGCUCCGAAGAAUCCCUAACCCUCCAUGGAGCCAUUGCUAGGGGGCGUCGAGAUCAACGCCACCCAUCACGACCACCGAGAUGUAGAGGGUAUGUCCUGGUGCUUCCCAAGAAUCUUUCCCGCCUCUUGAGAGACCACAUGGCGUUCUGGUGGCAGUUUUUGGCCAAGGUUGGAAGCCAAGAACACUUCUUAAUUUUGAUCACGGACUUGACAUUGUGGUCGGCGGUGCGUGGUGCAGUGCGGUGAUUUCUUGCCUAGCGUAUAACAAUGUGUGUUCAAUGGAUCGCCUCUUCUCACGCACAAGUCUCAGAGGGAGACAACGACAGCUAUUCAGAAUAACUACAACAAAAUUGUGACACAAGUGGUUAGUGGGAGAAGGAACCUGAUACCGCAGCCGAUUCUGCAGCAAGGGCUUUGUGACUGAGCUGGUGAAUAAAAUGUCAGUGGUGGAAACGGACAUGUUAUAGAAGAUGUUGAGGGUGGCACCGGAGUUAAUGGCCAAAUGGGGUUCCUCGGCACCGAAGAGAAGGAUGCUGCAGCGACACGUACUGGGUUCCAUUUCCAACCAGAGAAGAACUUAUGAAUGGCACUAGAAAGGAGACGAUCCUAUCCACUAUCACAAUGAAAGAAGAGAAACAAUUCCUUGCAGUCAUCUAUAAGCCUAUUCUUUAAUCCAUUCAAUUACAGAGUUUAUGAUUAUGUAAAUGGAGUAUGGGAUCUGAGAAGAAAAAAAAGGUAAUAGUACUUUCGUUCACAGGCAGAUUCGACAUAUCCUCGUUUACUUCCCCCUUGUCUUCUGACUGACUCCUUAAAUCAUCAACAUGUGUGUAUAUAUAGUUGCAUUCGAUUCAAGGAAGAUAAUGGACAAGUGUAUUGGUAUGAACAGGUCGUCGACUUUGACAGAAAAUGCAUACAUAUUAUCAGUUUUCCUGCUGAGUUGUACUAUUAUGCUACAGAAUACACAUCAGCUAUUAUGCUACAGAAUACGCAUAAUUAGUUACAGAUCAGUAGGCUACUCAUCUGGUUAGUUUUCUCAAGUCAUUUCUUCUGUGUGUAUAUAUGUUAUUUUCCUUUUUACACUAACAAGAGUUUCGUGCUUUCUGGUAUGGUGUGGUGCUCCCCCCUUCAUUUAGUGAGUUCUUCCUUAAUGGAGGAUAUGGUAUAGGUAAUAGUGAGUGGUGUUCUAGCUUAUGCACUAUUUCCCCCUGGCCCGAGUUCCACACCAUAACAUGCCGCCGCCCCAGCCGCCGCGUCUGCCAUGGCGCCGACGCCUCCCUGGCUCGCGGGACAUCCCCUCUAUAUAUUGUAAUAGACUCCCAUGAAUACAAUUGAGUUGCAUCCUAUAAUCUUCUACCUGCGUCAUCCGGUUUUAAUGGACAGGUUCCAGCAAAAAAUGUCACGCUAUAGGGAAAGCGAGUGGGAAGGGUGUGUUGUAGGGUGGAAUUCUUGUGUUGGAACAACGUGUUGGAGAUAACAUGGUGAAUAGUCCGUACAACUACAUUUCUUCCCCACAUAUGAGUUGGAUUUGGGGGAGUCCAGACGGUUGAAUUUGGGGAGUCUGCUGGGCACCCAUUUGAACACGUCCGAACGUAUGAGGGAGAAAUGAGCUUUGACUUGUUUAAUAUUGUACAAAAAAUAUUUGCUGCUAAUAAUGAGACAAGUUCUGAUUUGUACAUGCAA
Long non-coding RNA from Triticum dicoccoides, 3790 nucleotides. RefSeq lists it as uncharacterized. Lineage: Eukaryota; Viridiplantae; Streptophyta; Magnoliopsida; Poales; Poaceae. The transcript is spliced from 9 exons. The record is from RefSeq and is a predicted model, not a curated record.